UACGUAGGUCCCGAGCGUUGUCCGGAUUUAUUGGGCGUAAAGGGAACGCAGGCGGUCUUUUAAGUCUGAUGUGAAAGCCUUCGGCUUAACCGGAGUAGUGCAUUGGAAACUGGGAGACUUGAGUGCAGAAGAGGAGAGUGGAACUCCAUGUGUAGCGGUGAAAUGCGUAGGUAUAUGGAAGAACACCAGUGGCGAAAGCGGCUCUCUGGUCUGUAACUGACGCUGAGGUUCGAAAGCGUGGGUAGCAAACAGG
RNAcentral lists this ribosomal RNA (253 nucleotides) under uncultured bacterium. RNAcentral's name for it is "partial 16S ribosomal RNA". It matches the Rfam family "Bacterial small subunit ribosomal RNA", at positions 524 to 776 of the family's 1533-position model. The record is from RNAcentral.